RNAcentral lists this ribosomal RNA (744 nucleotides) under Staphylococcus aureus. Its description in RNAcentral is "partial 23S ribosomal RNA". It matches the Rfam family "Bacterial large subunit ribosomal RNA", at positions 1269 to 2009 of the family's 2925-position model. Lineage: Bacteria; Bacillati; Bacillota; Bacilli; Caryophanales; Staphylococcaceae. The record is from RNAcentral.
ACAUGUGGAGCGCUUAGAAGUGAGAAUGCCGGUGUGAGUAGCGAAAGACGGGUGAGAAUCCCGUCCACCGAUUGACUAAGGUUUCCAGAGGAAGGCUCGUCCGCUCUGGGUUAGUCGGGUCCUAAGCUGAGGCCGACAGGCGUAGGCGAUGGAUAACAGGUUGAUAUUCCUGUACCACCUAUAAUCGUUUUAAUCGAUGGGGGGACGCAGUAGGAUAGGCGAAGCGUGCGAUUGGAUUGCACGUCUAAGCAGUAAGGCUGAGUAUUAGGCAAAUCCGGUACUCGUUAAGGCUGAGCUGUGAUGGGGAGAAGACAUUGUGUCUUCGAGUCGUUGAUUUCACACUGCCGAGAAAAGCCUCUAGAUAGAAAAUAGGUGCCCGUACCGCAAACCGACACAGGUAGUCAAGAUGAGAAUUCUAAGGUGAGCGAGCGAACUCUCGUUAAGGAACUCGGCAAAAUGACCCCGUAACUUCGGGAGAAGGGGUGCUCUUUAGGGUUAACGCCCAGAAGAGCCGCAGUGAAUAGGCCCAAGCGACUGUUUAUCAAAAACACAGGUCUCUGCUAAACCGUAAGGUGAUGUAUAGGGGCUGACGCCUGCCCGGUGCUGGAAGGUUAAGAGGAGUGGUUAGCUUCUGCGAAGCUACGAAUCGAAGCCCCAGUAAACGGCGGCCGUAACUAUAACGGUCCUAAGGUAGCGAAAUUCCUUGUCGGGUAAGUUCCGACCCGCACGAAAGGCGUAACGAUU